GGGCCGGUAGAUCAGUCUGGAAUGAUCGCCGCCCUCGCGAGGCGGAGGUCGCGGGUUCAAAUCCCGCCCGGUCCACCA
This 78-nucleotide transfer RNA is filed under the name Thermoplasmata archaeon. Its description in RNAcentral is "tRNA-Ala". It matches the Rfam family "tRNA". From Rfam's summary of the family: Transfer RNA (tRNA) molecules are approximately 80 nucleotides in length. Their secondary structure includes four short double-helical elements and three loops (D, anti-codon, and T loops). Further hydrogen bonds mediate the characteristic L-shaped molecular structure. tRNAs have two regions of fundamental functional importance: the anti-codon, which is responsible for specific mRNA codon recognition, and the 3' end, to which the tRNAs corresponding amino acid is attached (by aminoacyl-tRNA synthetases). tRNAs cope with the degeneracy of the genetic code in two manners: having more than one tRNA (with a specific anti-codon) for a particular amino acid; and 'wobble' base-pairing, i.e. permitting non-standard base-pairing at the 3rd anti-codon position. RNAcentral also lists the same sequence under 2 other names. Lineage: Archaea; Methanobacteriati; Thermoplasmatota; Thermoplasmata. The record is from RNAcentral.